AUGUUUAAUCCUCAGCAGGAUGCUUGGCAUAUAAUGGCUUUCUCCAUGCCAUGGGGGUCAUGGCUCCUAUCAACCUUGAUCUCUUCUCAUCUAAGCAGCUCUUCCAUCAGCAAAGAAAGAAGGUUUCUUCCUUUUUGGCUCCAAUCUGAAAAAAAUUUCAAGCAUGAUUUGCAUGGGACCAACUUAAGUCACAUACUUCUCCUCAAACCAGUUACAACCAGGAAGAUGAGGUAAUAUGAUUGGUUGAAUUGAAUUUCUAAUGAAAUGAAAUUCCAGUUCAUUCGAAUUUGAUUCCUGUGGAAAGAGAUGCAUCAAGCAUGCCGAGAGAGUAACCUUUACCUUCUGUAAGAGGUAAUAGAAUAAUUAGUAUUUUAGUGGUAGAGUUGGUUCUACAAACUGGCAUAAAGUCAAAACACUGACUCUCUACUAAGUCACUAGAACCAAAAUGCUAGAAUCUCUGGAUGUCUGGCUAAGAUACCACAGGGCCUGAGUGGACAUGUCACGUGAACUUUGUAUCCAAGAAAGAAAGCCUAUCAUAUUUUCCUCUCUCAGGAUGUUGGCUCAUAGAGUAAAAACUUGAAUUUAUUUCUUAGUAUACAUACCUUUUAAUGAAGAAAGUUAUAAACACGUGAGUACUAUCUUAGAAAAAGCAGAGCCUCUAAAGAGGGUGGUUGAAGGUGACAUUUCUGUUGUUUUAAAAACUUUAGGAUGUCAUGUCCUGUGGGAAUGCAUUAUUCUAACAAUUUACUUAACAUUUUGCUUCCUAUAGAGUGGACUGGGCGUGGGACCUGAAAGCAGAUUUGUGAAUUGAAUUUAUAGUGGAUGAGCUUCUCCUAAUGCUUUUGCCAGGUCGUUUAAGACUGUUGGCUCUUGAUUCCAGUACUUUCAAUAUCCACUCACCACUGCAUUAGUGGGAGGACUAUUGUAUUAUAUAAGAGAUCUGGAGAGCUAGUGACUUAGUAGAGAGUCAGUGUUUUGACUUUAUGCCAACAUCAUCAUCAUUUCCAUACUUGUUUCACAUUUCUCUUAUCAGCUGGGCCCUUGAUUCAAGGUUACCUUGAUUAUUUUCAGGUCUUGAGUCAUGAAUCUCCCUUAUUUUUACCUCAAAAAUAUUUUCACCAACUCACCUUAUCUUCUUUCUUUUCAAAAUUAAAGGUGUCCUCCAAGGGGGUGAGGGGGGUGAGAUUAGGAGAUUGGGAUUGGCAUAUAUCACUAUGGAUGUGUAUAUGUAUGAAGUGUUAUAUUUUAUACUAUGUAUAAAAUGUUAGUCACUCAGUCAUGUCCAACUCUUUGCGACCCCAUGGACUGUAGCCCACCAGGCUCCUCUGUCCAUGGAAUUUCCCAGCAAGAAUGCUGGAGUAGAUGGCCAUUGCCUUCUCCAGGGGAAUCUUCCUGAGCCAGGGAUCGAACCCAGGUCUCCCACAUGGCAGGCAGAUUAUUUACUGUCUGAGCCACCAUAACUAAUGAGAACCUACUGUAUAGCACAGAGAACUCUACUCAAUGCUCUGUGGUGACCUAAUUGGGAAGGAAAUCCAAGGAAGAGAGGCUAUACAUAUACAUGUGACUAUUCACUUUGCUGUAUAGAAGAAACUAACACAACAUUUGAAAGCAACUCUAAUCCAGUUAGGGGCUUCCCUGGUAGCUCAGCUAGUAAAGAAUCUGCCUGCAAAGCGGGAGACCCUGGUUUGAUUCCUGGGUUGGGAAGACGCCCUGGAGAAGGGACAGGCUUUACCCACUCCAGUAUUCUUGGGCUUCCCUGGUGACUCAGCUAGUAAAGAAUCUGCCUGCAAAGCGGGAGACCCUGGUUUGAUUCCUGGGUUGGGAAGACGCCCUGGAGAAGGGACAGGCUUUACCCACUCCAGUAUUCUUGGGCUUCCCUGGUGGCUCAGCUGGUAAAGAAUCCACCUGCAGUGCAGGAGACCUGGGUUUGAUCCCUGGGUUGGGACGAUCUCCUGGAGGAGGUCAUGAGUCAGACACGACUGAGUGACUAAGCAUAGCACAGUCAUCGGGCAUAAGAGAUCAGAAAUAAAGAAGAAGUCUAUGAUGACUCCUAGGUAUUU
Bos indicus x Bos taurus (hybrid cattle) is the source of this 2060-nucleotide long non-coding RNA. The record is from Ensembl. NCBI's taxonomy places the organism in Eukaryota, Metazoa, Chordata, Mammalia, Artiodactyla, Bovidae.